AGCAGCCGCGGUAAUUCCAGCUCCAAUAGCGUAUAUUAAAGUUGUUGCAGUUAAAAAGCUCGUAGUUGAAUUUCGGGAUCAAUAUAUUGGUCAUGCUUAGGUAUGUACUGGUAUUAUUGAUUUCUCCCUUCUGAAGAACCAUGAUGUCAUUAAUUUGAUGUCGUGGGGAAUCAGGACUGUUACUUUGAAAAAUUAGAGUGUUUAAAGCAGGCUUUCGCUUGAAUACAUUAGCAUGGAAUAAUGAAAUAGGACGUUUGAUUCUAUUUUGUUGGUUUCUAGGAUCGACGUAAUGAUUAAUAGGGAUAGUUGGGGGCAUUAGUAUUCAAUUGUCAGAGGUGAAAUUCUUGGAUUUAUUGAAGACUAACUACUGCGAAAGCAUUUGCCAAGGAUGUUUUCAUUAAUCAAGAACGAAAGUUAGGGGAUCGAAGACGAUCAGAUACCGUCGUAGUCUUAACCAUAAACUAUGCCGACUAGGGAUCGGAUGAUGUUAAUUUUUAAUGACUCAUUC
This 508-nucleotide ribosomal RNA is filed under the name uncultured Glomus. Its description in RNAcentral is "SSU rRNA". It matches the Rfam family "Eukaryotic small subunit ribosomal RNA", at positions 569 to 1081 of the family's 1831-position model. Lineage: Eukaryota; Fungi; Glomeromycota; Glomeromycetes; Glomerales; Glomeraceae. The record is from RNAcentral.